This 397-nucleotide ribosomal RNA is filed under the name uncultured bacterium. Its description in RNAcentral is "partial 16S ribosomal RNA". It matches the Rfam family "Bacterial small subunit ribosomal RNA", at positions 523 to 918 of the family's 1533-position model. The record is from RNAcentral.
AUACGUAGGGGGCGAGCGUUGUCCGGAAUGAUUGGGCGUAAAGGGCGCGUAGGCGGCGCGGUAAGUCUGGAGUGAAAGUCCUGCUUUCAAGGUGGGAAUUGCUUUGGAUACUGCCGCGCUUGAGUGCAGGAGAGGUUAUCGGAAUUCCCGGUGUAGCGGUGAAAUGCGUAGAGAUUGGGAGGAACACCAGUGGCGAAGGCGACUUACUGGACUGUAACUGACGCUGAGGCGCGAAAGUGUGGGGAGCAAACAGGAUUAGAUACCCUGGUAGUCCACACUGUAAACGAUGAAUGCUAGGUGUAGGGGGUAUCGACCCCUUCUGUGCCGCAGUCAACACAAUAAGCAUUCCGCCUGGGGAGUACGGCCGCAAGGUUGAAACUCAAAUGAAUUGACGGGG